AUUGAACGCUAGCGGCAUGCUUUACACAUGCAAGUCGAACGGCAGCACGAAAAGAGCUUGCUCUCUUUGGUGGAGCGCGGCGAAAGGGUGCGUAAUGUAUGGGAACAUACCCAGUAACGGGGGCUAAUUCCGCGAAAGCGUGGCGAAUACAGCAUACGCCGUACGGGGGACAGCGGGCGACUGCUAAACCACUUACUAUUGGAGAGGCCGAUCUCGGACUAGCUAGUUGGUGGGGUCAGGGCUCACCAAGGCAACGAUCCGUACCUGGUUUGAAAGGAAGACCAGCCACAUGGUGACUGAGACACGGCCCAGACUCCGACGGUAGGCAGCAGUGGGGAAUUUUAGACGAUGGGGGAAUCGCGGAUCCAGCCCUCCGGGGGGUACGAUGAAGGCCUUCUGCUUGUAGAACAAUGUUGGCAGUGAAAAAACAACACUGUCUAAUACUUGACGCAACUGACGGUACCUGCAGAAUAAGCACCGGCUAACUACGUG
This 492-nucleotide ribosomal RNA is filed under the name uncultured bacterium. RNAcentral's name for it is "partial 16S ribosomal RNA". It matches the Rfam family "Bacterial small subunit ribosomal RNA", at positions 30 to 507 of the family's 1533-position model. The record is from RNAcentral.